Long non-coding RNA from Macrobrachium nipponense, 1304 nucleotides. RefSeq lists it as uncharacterized. NCBI's taxonomy places the organism in Eukaryota, Metazoa, Arthropoda, Malacostraca, Decapoda, Palaemonidae. The record is from RefSeq and is a predicted model, not a curated record. The transcript is spliced from 3 exons.
CCGAUGCUUUUCUUCCCCGCCGCUAGGUGGCACUAGUAUGCUGCUCGUUUGCAGGUGCACUGCUAUUAAGUCUGUCAGUGUUUUCGUGAAUUUGGUGAAGUGUGUUCCUGUGGCAUCACCUCUUAACACUUCAAGCCACAUCUAAUUAAAGGAGAGCAGUAAUUUUCGGAUAUCACGGUUCAUUCAAGGCUGUGUGAAUGUCAGUGCCAAAACCUGGUGUAUUAAAAGGACGACGUCUCAUGGGUCUAUUGCAUUUCCAAGUCAUGAAUCGUCAUGGCGUUUCACUCUGCUUCACUGUUUACCUUUUUUAAAGAUCGGAUGUCAUGCAAGGUGUGAAUUCUACGUAUGUACGUCUUUAAGAGUAUCUUCGACAUGGGAGCUUGGAAAUGUAAUUGUAUCAAGCUUUUUUCUUGUGAAGAGAACUCACUCUUUCGCGCUCGCGUGCUGCAGGUCCUUGUAAUCAGAACUGUCUAAUUGAUUAUAGGGGAUUCGAAUGAAGUGAGUACUUUACAGUAAAGUUCCCAAUACUCAGAAAAACCCCUCGUGCUCGUUCAUUGGCGCGCUUCCACGAAUGGACACAGUUCAGAUAUUUGAAUGUUUUCUAAUAAUCGGCUCUCUGUAGCAAAGAUUUAAGGAUUCCAACCUUGCAAACGCCUGAUAACGAUAAAGAGGAACAAUAGACAGCUAUCUAAUCUGUAAGUGAACGAUUCAAAUAAAAUCAUAAAAAGCUUGAUAACGAUAACGAGGAACAAAAAACUGCUAUCUAAUGUGCAAGUGAACGAUUCUGAAUAAAAUUAUAAAAUGCUCGAUAACGAUAACGAGGAACAAAAAACUGCUAUCUAAUGUGCAAGUGAACGUUUCUAAAUAAAAUCAUUAGAAGCUUGAUAACGAUAACGAGGAACAAAAAACUGUUAUCUAAUGUGCAAGUAAACGAUUCUAAAUAAAAGCAUAAGAAGCUUGAUAACGAUAAAGAGGAACAAAAGACUACUAUCUAAUGUGCAAGUGAACGAUUCUAAAUAAAAUCAUAAAAACUUGAAAACUACCCACCCACAUUACGAUUCGUCGGAAAAUACCACUGUGACAUUUAGAAGAGCAUCAGUUCCCUUCACGGCGGCAGGGCGAUCAACGUAGUUCUUUCCAUUCAGAUUCCAUAGGAGGAGAACCUUCAUAAUGGCUCCAGUGAAGGAGGGCUUUUGCUGCUGGAUCACGCCUCUUUUUGUACUGGUUCUGUGCAAGUGCCGGACAUUCGCUUGCUAUGUGGUUUAUGGUCUCCUUUUUCAUAUUACACUUCCUGCAUAUGGGUG